This 253-nucleotide ribosomal RNA is filed under the name uncultured bacterium. RNAcentral describes it as "partial 16S ribosomal RNA". It matches the Rfam family "Bacterial small subunit ribosomal RNA", at positions 524 to 776 of the family's 1533-position model. The record is from RNAcentral.
UACGGAGGGUGCAAGCGUUAUCCGGAAUUAUUGGGCGUAAAGCGUCCGCAGGUGGCAAUGUAAGUCUGCUGUUAAAGAGUCUAGCUCAACUAGAUAAAAGCAGUGGAAACUACAUAGCUAGAGUACGUUCGGGGCAGAGGGAAUUCCUGGUGUAGCGGUGAAAUGCGUAGAGAUCAGGAAGAACACCGGUGGCGAAGGCGCUCUGCUAGGCCGUAACUGACACUGAGGGACGAUAGCUAGGGGAGCGAAUGGG